CAUUUGGCUUUCCAUAGAACACACCCUGAGCAGCUCUGACAUCACUGUAGUUCAGUGAGAGACUCCGAGAAAGUGAAACUAACUUGAUCUACAACAUGGACGCCAGAAACCAUCGAACUCUUUAAACAACUGAAUAUCGAGUCGUUCAGAGACACUUGUGAACACAUCUGAUACUCACAGCAGGUCAUAGUUCAGAUUGCUCAGCUUUAAGAGGGAAAGAACAAUGGCAGAAUCUUCACUAACAGCAAGAAAAACCAGGAGACAGAGUGGCUGACUGUACAUGAUCU
Carassius auratus (goldfish) is the source of this 287-nucleotide long non-coding RNA. RefSeq lists it as uncharacterized. The transcript has 3 exons. The record is from RefSeq and is a predicted model, not a curated record. NCBI's taxonomy places the organism in Eukaryota, Metazoa, Chordata, Actinopteri, Cypriniformes, Cyprinidae.